RNAcentral lists this ribosomal RNA (428 nucleotides) under uncultured bacterium. RNAcentral's name for it is "partial 16S ribosomal RNA". It matches the Rfam family "Bacterial small subunit ribosomal RNA", at positions 355 to 774 of the family's 1533-position model. The record is from RNAcentral.
GGAGGAAUAUUGCGCAAUGGGCGAAAGCCUGACGCAGCGACGCCGAGUGGAGGAUGAAGGUCCUAGGAUUGUAAACUCCUGUCGGAUGGGAAGAAAAGGUUUGUUUUUAAUAGAGGCGAAUCAUGACGGUACCAUCAAAGGAAGCACCGGCUAACUUCGUGCCAGCAGCCGCGGUAAUACGAAGGGUGCAAGCGUUAUUCGGAUUUACUGGGCGUAAAGAGUGCGUAGGCGGUUUGUUAAGUUUGUUGUUAAAGACCCUGGCCUAACCAGGGGGUUGCGAUGAAAACUGGCAGGCUAGAGGGUGAGAGAGAGAAGUGGAAUUCCCGGAGUAGCGGUAAAAUGCGUGGAUCUCGGGAGGAACACCAAUGGCGAAGGCAGCUUCUUGGUUCACACCUGACGUUGAGGCACGAAAGCGUGGGGAGCAAACA